CCUACGGGAGGCUGCAGUGGGGAAUAUUGCACAAUGGGGGAAACCCUGAUGCAGCGACGCCGCGUGAGCGAUGAAGUAUUUCGGUAUGUAAAGCUCUAUCAGCAGGGAAGAAGAUGACGGUACCUGACUAAGAAGCCCCGGCUAACUACGUGCCAGCAGCCGCGGUAAUACGGAGGGGGCCAGCGUUAUCCGGAUUUACUGGGUGUAAAGGGAGCGUAGACGGCGUUGCAAGCCAGAUGGGAAAGCCCGGGGCUCAACCCCGGGACUGCAUUUGAAACUGGGUGGCUGGAGUGUCGGAGAGGCAGGCGGAAUUCGUGGUGUAGCGGUGCAAUGCGUAGAUAUUAGGAGGAACACCAGUGGCGAAGGCGGCCUGCUGGACGAUGACUGACGUUGAGGCUCGAAAGCGUGGGGAACAAACAGGAUUAGAUACCCCGGUAGUC
This 440-nucleotide ribosomal RNA is filed under the name uncultured bacterium. RNAcentral's name for it is "partial 16S ribosomal RNA". It matches the Rfam family "Bacterial small subunit ribosomal RNA", at positions 338 to 795 of the family's 1533-position model. The record is from RNAcentral.